GCCCAUCCAUUCCCAAUCCGCACAGCUUUCGUCCGCGCCCAAGUCUCCACGGCCAACGAACCUUCUUCUUGUUAUUCUUCUUUGCUCUUCUUCUUCUUGUUAUUCUUCUUUGCUCUUCUUCUUCUUGUUACUGUUCCUGUUCUUCUUCUUGGUUUGUUAUGUGUUACUAUGUUCUUGCUAAUCUUCCUUCUUAACUAUCCGUUUGAUUUUAUUUUUUUUAUUGGUUUUGAAUUUGGCGUUAUACGAAUAACGAAUCCGUAUUUGUUUAAGAUUACAGAGUCUACACUUGUUGAGGAAAGCAAGUCUAUUGGGAUUCAUCAUCAUCACUAUGUUUCAUACAGGUAUAUAUGUUUUCAUUUAUUAUCAGUUAUCUUUUUCUGUUCUUUUCAAGCUUAUAUUCUGCAGAUAGAAUGUUUGCUGAAUGUUACCGGCUUUCUUGUGGACACAGAUUUUCUAAAACUCCCACUGAAUCUGUGUUGUGAUAUCGCAUAGUAUUGACAUUGACUAUCCAAUACAAACACGCAUAUAAAGAUACAAUAUAUUCUUUAAAAUAUAAUAAAAAAAAUAUGAAUCUAUAUAUUAUAUAAUUAUAAAUUAUAUAAUAAAAAUUUAUUAUAAUAUAAAUGUUGUUAAAGUAUAAAGAUAUCUCGGAGUAGAUACUUGUAACUAUGUAUUUGAAGGAUUACCGGCAGAAGACUUGGCUCCGUAAAAGGUGAGACCAAGAUUGCCACAUUGAAUGAAAAUAAUCGAAUUUCAAAGCCUUUAAUCAACCUAUCCUAUCCCACUAAACUCAUUCAAUUAAGGAAUUAUAUAAAAAAAAUAUUAUUAAGUAUAACUCAAAAUAACAUUUACAUCACAUAAAAUAACAAAUAAAAUAACCGAUUUAGUAAAAGAAAAUUAAGAGAUAGUUUAUUGGUUAUAUCAUGAAUAACAAAAAAAUUGAGUCAUCUUUUUCACUUUUAUUUGUUUGACCGUAAGUUUGGUGGAAAUAGGCUUGGCCAUGGUUAAUUAAGAGAAUUAAAGAAUUGGGAAAUAUUAGGACAACUUAAAUUUAUAUUUAAGUUACAAUUAAAAUUAAUUAAUUACACUAAAAUUACUAAUAAUAAGAGAAUAUUUAAAAAAAAUAUUAAUUAAUUAAUAUUAAUUUUGUAAAUUAAAUUAUUUAAAUCACAACUCAACAAUAAAGUUUAAAUUUUGUAAAAAAAUCUAAUUAAUAUAAACAGUAUAUAACGAAAUUUCAGGAUGUUUUACAAUUCCUGACUAAAGAAAAACUACACUGUUUCCAUUAUAAUAAUUAUUUUUUCUUAAAAAAAAGUGUCAAUUUUACUUAGUAGUUUUCAUGAUCACUUAAAAAAAAAGUGUCAACAUACCACUUUCACUUAAAGGAUGUUCCAAAAUAACAUGGACCAAAACAAUAACAAAAAUUUUACGAUGAACAAUAAUAAAAAAAAUUAAAAGCCAAAAUCAAAAUAUAAAAUUUGUUGAAAAAAAAAACCAGUACACUUUAUAAACUUAACCAAUGCUAGCAAAGUGUAGAAACCAAAAUUUAAGUAAAAAUUUUACAGAGAACCGAAACGAAAAUUAAUUUAUUGAGAAACAUAUCUAGAAUUCCGAAAUUUAUGGUAAGCCAAAAUAUUAUUCAUAAAAAACAACUUUUUCACUUUCAUAAUUUCUUCUACAAAUCUACAGAAACCAAUAAAACAUGAAAACAAUACCAUUUUGGAAAUCUCUUUAUAAAAGGAAAUACAAACAUUAAACUUUUUCUCAAAUUAAACUGAACCUUAUAAGUUCAAUAUCAAGUCUGAUGAAAGUGGAAGAAUAGAAUAAUAACACAUAAAAGCGUUUGAUUAACAUAUUCAGUAACAUAAUAGUUAUAGCAAAUUAGAAGAAUCCAGAAAAGGUGGGUCACACCUCAGUAUUUUACCAGCUACCUUCUAUGUCAGAAUUCAGAUACAAAAUAAAAUAAGCAUACAUACACCUGGUAAAUUCAAGCAAAAUAUAGAUUAAUCGAGAAAAUAGAAUGUAAAGUAUCCUAUUCUAUAAAUUUUAUAACAUACACUGAUGAUUAAUCUGGGUAGAAGAAAUUAACUUAAUCUGAAAGAUUAUGAUCAGACAGAUACUACACUGUUUACACGAACUUCUGUAAGAGAUGCAACAAUAUUACAGUAUCUUGUCGGACAUGAAACAGCAUUAUUCAGUUCUCGAAUUGCCUUCACUUAGGGCCUUCCCCGCCUCAAGCUGCAUGAUGGACAUUUGUAUUGCUUUAUGCUCUCAGCUUUUGCAGGAGUAAUCUUCACACAUUUACCAUGGAACCACCUCUCACAUAUGUCACAACCAAUCCAAAAUUCAUCUGCAUUGUAAUUUCCGCCACAGCUCCCACACAGGGUUUCACUAUGCUCGUCAUCCUCCUCUGCAAAACCUUCAU
This 2425-nucleotide long non-coding RNA is filed under the name Phaseolus vulgaris (common bean). RNAcentral's name for it is "long non-coding RNA (PVUL_LNC000476)". The record is from RNAcentral. Lineage: Eukaryota; Viridiplantae; Streptophyta; Magnoliopsida; Fabales; Fabaceae.